GCUAACUACGUGCCAGCAGCCGCGGUAAUACGUAGGGUGCGAGCGUUAAUCGGAAUUACUGGGCGUAAAGCGUGCGCAGGCGGUUUGGUAAGUCAGAUGUGAAAUCCCCGGGCUCAACCUGGGAACUGCAUUUGAGACUGCCAAGCUGGAGUUUGGCAGGAGGGGGUGGAAUUCCACGUGUAGCAGUGAAAUGCGUAGAGAUGUGGAGGAACACCGAUGGCGAAGGCAGCCCCCUGGGCCAAUACUGACGCUCAUGCACGAAAGCGUGGGGAGCAAACAGGAUUAGAUACCCUGGUAGUCCACGCCCUAAACGAUGUCAACUAGGUGUUGGGAGGGUUUAAACCUUUUAGUGCCGUAGCUAACGCGUGAAGUUGACCGCCUGGGGGAGUACGGCCGCAAGG
Molecule: ribosomal RNA, 401 nt
Filed under: uncultured bacterium
Lineage: Bacteria
Description: bacterial SSU rRNA
Rfam family: Bacterial small subunit ribosomal RNA
Source: RNAcentral